Molecule: ribosomal RNA, 452 nt
Filed under: uncultured bacterium
Lineage: Bacteria
Description: bacterial SSU rRNA
Rfam family: Bacterial small subunit ribosomal RNA
Source: RNAcentral
AGCGAACGCUGGCGGCAGGCUUAACACAUGCAAGUCGAGCGGGCGUAGCAAUACGUCAGCGGCAGACGGGUGAGUAACGCGUGGGAACGUACCUUUUGGUUCGGAACAACACAGGGAAACUUGUGCUAAUACCGGAUAAGCCCUUACGGGGAAAGAUUUAUCGCCGAAAGAUCGGCCCGCGUCUGAUUAGCUAGUUGGUGAGGUAACGGCUCGCCAAGGCGACGAUCAGUAGCUGGUCUGAGAGGAUGAUCAGCCACAUUGGGACUGAGACACGGCCCAGACUCCUACGGGAGGCAGCAGUGGGGAAUAUUGGACAAUGGGCGAAAGCCUGAUCCAGCAAUGCCGCGUGAGUGAUGAAGGCCUUAGGGUUGUAAAGCUCUUUUACCGGGGAUGAUAAUGACAGUACCCAGAGAAUAAGCUCCGGCUAACUCCGUGCCAGCAGCCGCGGUAAU